Molecule: long non-coding RNA, 3860 nt
Organism: Seriola aureovittata
Lineage: Eukaryota; Metazoa; Chordata; Actinopteri; Carangiformes; Carangidae
Exons: 4
Source: RefSeq, a predicted model, not a curated record
CUUUCACAUUCACAAAGCUAACUAUAAUACCCAUGGAUGUGUUAGGUUAAACAACUCACAUCCCUGGCACUCACAGGCCUCUCAACUCACGACUUCUUAGAAAUAUAACUGAAGCAGACAGAAGUGAAGGAAGUUGAAGCAGACAGAUUCAAGGACGAUGACACGCUUGAUAGUGGUUCCACAGAGAGGACAAUUGUGUGCUAUUGUGCUAAGGCAGAUGCUGUGAAAAGCAGCCUAGCUGAGGAUCUGAAGUGGGACCUUUGAUUAAAAUGUGGCUCCACAAUGCUGGAGACCGGGAUGGGGAAGGGACGAAAGGACCAGAAGGUGGGUCCUGAAUCCUGAGGGGAUUGAUUUCUAAUGUACUUAUUGUGUCAUAAUAAUGUACCUAUGUGACUGUUGUUCUGUGAAACAUUUUAUUCAUAUUUAUUCAUUUUAUUCACAUAGUGUGUCCAUAGUGGGCCAUGCUGUGGCAGCAGCAUGCUUUGGGGCUGUUUUUCUUCAGCUGGAACUGGGGCUUUAAUCAAGGUGGAGGGAAUGAUGAACAGUUCCAAAUAACAGUCAGUUUUGGCACAAAACCUUCAGGCGUCUGCUCAAAAGCUGGAGAGGAAUAUGAAUUUUAUUUUGCUGAUAGACUCCUACACAAAAAGAUUUUUUAUUUUUAUUUCCCCCCCCCUGAAAACAUUUCAGUUUGUUUUGAAAUUGAAUUGGACAGGUUAUAGGUCACAUAAAUUCUGAAUUUGUUUUUUUCUUGCUCUCAUUUUUUUACCACACAAAAGCGUGGCAUUCACAGGGCUGUGUAGACUUUUUUUUAUAUCCACUGUACGUCUGCAGGUACAGUGGAUAUAAAAGUAGUAAAUAAAUAAUAAAUUUACAAACUUUUUUUUGCUGAAUUACACUCACCUACAUGUUUAAUUUUUUACAGUGUACAAAAUUUUACCUUCUACAUUGUUUAAAAGAUUUGACACCCUGAUCAUUCAUAUGGGAAAACUGGUUGAAAAAAGAGUAGGCUAAUACCUGAGGAGGAUUUGUGCUAAAUGUAGUAAAAGCGUACUUGUAUCCACUGAAGCAGUUACCAAACUCCAACAUAUACAUAUACCAAAAAUCACAAACAAACAUGUAUUAAGAUACAAACAUUGUAAUUAAAUGAAUGAAAAGGCCUUUAUUUGUGUUUGCUGAGCUGAAUGAACAUUUGUGUUUGUGGUCAUCAAAGUGGACGACCGUGCUGGUGCAUGUACACGCGAAAGAUAGUGAGUCACCCUUAUUAUAAAAGACUAUUAUAUAUUCAUGUCAGAAACUGGCUCAGUGCAUGUGACAAAGAGAAGGUGAUUAAUGUUUCAUUGGAAAUAAAACAGCAAAGCGUCUGAAUACUUUUGUCCAUCAGUAGUGAAGGUCAGUGUUCCUGUUGAACACAGCAGAAAUGUCAAAACAAACCUAAAGAACAUUAUAUGAUAUUAUUAUAUGCUAUACACUGCUCAUAAUGUGACUCAUUAGUGUGUAUGGCCUUCACAUGCACUCCCGACAUCUGGGCAUGCUGCUGAUGAGUGGGCGGAUGGUGUCCUGGGGGAUCUCCUCCCAGAACUGGAUCAGGGCAUCAGUGAGCUCCUGGACGGUCUGCGGUGGUACUUGGCGACGUCAGAUGCACCGAUACAUAACGUCCCAUAGGUGCUCAAUUGGAUUCAGGUCAGGGGAACGUGAGGGCCAGUCAAUGGCAUCAAUGCCUUCGUCAUCCAGGAAGUGCCUACACACUCUGGCCACAUGAGGCUGGGCGUUGUCCUGCACCAGGAGGAACCCAGGGCCCACUGCACCAGCAUGAGGUCCGACAGUCGCUCUGAGGAUUUCAUCCCAGUACCCAGUGAGACCUCCAUGCUUUCUGAUCCAGAAGAAAAACAGCUGCUCAUUUAGAGGAGAUGAGAUGAGGUGACAAGGAGAGGAGAGGAGAGGAGAAAAGGAGAGGAAAUAAGGAGAUGAGAGGAGAGAGGAGAGGAGAGGAGAUGAGAGGAGAGGAAACGAGAGAGGAGAGGAGAGGAAAUGAGGAGAGGAAACAAGGAGAGGAGAGGAGGCCCCUGGUCUCGCAGUUCGGGGCCACAUAUAGAAGAACCACACGCUGCUCAUAGACCAGGAGCUGGUUCAGAGACCAGGAGCUGGUUCAGAGACCAGGAGCAACUCUUAGACCAGGAGCUGGUUCAGAGACCAGGAGCUGGUUCAGAGACCAGGAGCAACUCAUAGACCAGGAGCUGGUUCAGAGACCAGGAGCAACUCAUAGACCAGGAGCUGGUUCAGAGACCAGGAGCUGGUUCAGAGACCAGGAGCAGCUCAUAGAACAGGAUCUGGUUCAGAGACCAGGAGCUGGUUCAGAGACCAGGAGCAACUCAUAGACCAGGAGCAGCUCAUAGACCAGGAGCUAGUUCAGAGACCAGGAGCAGCUCAUAGACCAGGAGCAGCUCAUAGACCAGGAGCUGGUUCAGAGACCAGGAGCAACUCAUAGACCAGGAGCAGCUCAUAGACCAGGAGCUAGUUCAGAGACCAGGAGCAGCUCAUACACCAGGAGCUGGUUCAGAUGUGGUCAGACACUGGUCUGCUGCUGUAAAUAACUGUUGUUGUUGCUGAGUUUCUCGGGAGGAGGUGGAGGUCAUGUUGUUUGCAGCAGACUCUUGUGGGACUUUCGCUGUGGUGAACUGGGGCAUUGUGGGGCAUCAGACUGUUCAUGGCUCAGUCACCAAGAUCGAUUAAGUGAAACCAAUCGACAUACAGCGUGUGAAAUGGGGGCUGCUACUUUCAAGUGUCUCACACUGACUCUUUGUGAAGAUGAGGCUGAUCUAACUGAUUAAUACACAAACAAGCAGCCAGCCCGUCACAUGAUGCUGAGGCUGCAGGACAAUGUGUGUCAGUGAGGACGGGUUGGACACGGACUUUCAUCAGUGCUGAAUGUCUCUGUCUGAACUCUGUCCUCCCACUGGGACCAGCAACAGUCUAGGUCUGGGUUUCUUUCUCUCACUGUGUCUUUAGUACCUGCAGUGGAGUCCAGUGGGGCCCCUCUUGGCCGGGGCCCUUAAACUGGAACAUAGCGUAGCUGUGAGCCAAUGUCAACAGUUACGUUCACCUGUGACUACUGAGUAAGCUAGUUAGUUAACCAACAAGAGAUUAUCAGCUGUUUUGAAGGAGUAAGUGACAAAACUAAAGCAACUGUCACAAACUGUCACAGACUGUGACUGAGGAGAGCCUUCGUCUGGACCCUCGGACAUAAAGAGCACAUCAGCUGCAGUGAUGCUUUUUUCUGGAGGUUUCUAAUACGUUAUCCUGAUGAGACUGACGAGGAGAAAAUGAAUUUAGAUGAUUUUAUGUGAAGUGAAUGAACCGCGGUCUGUGGUUGGUUCCACAGUGUUAAUGAGAAUUGAUUUUACAUGUCAGAUUAAAUCACGUUUCUCCAGAUGUUCCAGGCAGUUGAGUUAAGUGAAGGUAUGAAUGCACAUGAAAACACAGUUUAAUGUGCAGUCACAGGUAGCUACAGGUACGACCAUAUAACUGCUGAAGCCUCUUCAUCCUGGAGGCCAUGUUGUUGUUUAGUAGCAAUGAUUACUUAUUGAGUUUGGACCCCUGCCGAUAACUUUUCUUUUGUUUUUUACUGUUGUUUUCUUUUUUUCUUUCCUUUUUUCUUUUCUUUCUUUCUUUUUUUCUGUUCACUUUGUAAUGGUAAUAUGUUACAGUGCAUGUUGUAAAUGAUUAAAUAAAUGAAUAAAGGUCCAGGUUUUCAUAGGGACAGCUGGACAACUUCAGACAUGUUGCUGUUGAUAUCAGCCAACCUCCUGAGGCCCUCAGCUCUGAGUAUGCUGUAAAGUCUGUGGGCAGUCAUUUCACAUAUG